GAUGAACGCUAGCGGCAGGCCUAAUACAUGCAAGUCGAACGCUCAGUAGCAAUACUGGGAGUGGCGCACGGGUGCGUAACGCGUACACGAAUCUACCUCUAAGCGGGGGGACACCUCCUGGAAACGGGGAUUAAUACCGCAUAAUAUGCCGAAGUCGCAUGACUUUGGUAUUAAAGCAGCAAUGCACUUAGAGAUGAGUGUGCGUCCCAUUAGGUAGUUGGUGAGGUAACGGCUCACCAAGCCUAUGAUGGGUAGCCGGUCUGAGAGGAUGGUCGGCCACACGGGCACUGAGACACGGGCCCGACUCCUACGGGAGGCAGCAGUAAGGAAUAUUGGACAAUGGGGGCAACCCUGAUCCAGCCAUGCCGCGUGAGUGAAGAAGGCCCUCGGGUUGUAAAGCUCUUUUGUCCGGAAAGAAAAGCAAUCGGUUAAUACCCGGUUGUCCUGACGGUACCGGAAGAAUAAGCACCGGCUAACUUCGUGCCAGCAG
RNAcentral lists this ribosomal RNA (490 nucleotides) under uncultured bacterium. RNAcentral's name for it is "bacterial SSU rRNA". It matches the Rfam family "Bacterial small subunit ribosomal RNA", at positions 28 to 514 of the family's 1533-position model. The record is from RNAcentral.